CUGCUGCAGAACCACCCAGGAGAUGGUGCUCUUGAACCAGAGAUAGAUGCAGCGCUGACCCAGAGGCAUCCUCGAACGCAGCCCUCCCUGUUUUCCCUUUGUGUUGCAUGCUCUUCUUUGGGGUUCCCAUUUCCUAUGGGGAGAAGAAUGUGAUGAUGUUGAGCCCGGAGCGUAUUUCCAUCUGAUCCGUAAUGCGAUUUCCAGCCUGGUGAUCCUAGGCUCCUGCCUGAAAUGACGCUGGUGCUUGUAGGAGGUGUUUUUCCCUGGACUGUGAGACUAGUGAGAUGCUGAAGCUGAACACGGAGCAGAUUUGCAGCUGAUUGCCCUGAUUGGAGCCUGGGAUGCGCUGUGCCCAAGCCAAGCAUCUGAGGGGUGCCAGCUCCAUUGCUGCCAGGGCUGGGAAAAGCACGGCCGUGCGUGGGGCUCCCUGUGGCCUCCUCAGUGGGACAGCCUUUCACUGCUGACACGUGUCUCAGAGAAUCUGAAUCACAGUCAUCAGUGCAGUAAGACCAUUGUCACUGCAUUCGGUACUUGGAAAGAAAUGGGUUAAGAGAUAAAACCUGCA
Long non-coding RNA from Gallus gallus (chicken), 565 nucleotides. The record is from Ensembl. NCBI's taxonomy places the organism in Eukaryota, Metazoa, Chordata, Aves, Galliformes, Phasianidae.